This 2363-nucleotide unclassified non-coding RNA is filed under the name Hevea brasiliensis (rubber tree). Lineage: Eukaryota; Viridiplantae; Streptophyta; Magnoliopsida; Malpighiales; Euphorbiaceae. The record is from RNAcentral.
GGCAAUUUGGAUCCAAAAAGCUAUAAGUUUUGAAUCAAGAUUCUCCAGGAGGAAACAAGACCAAUUGACAAAAAAAGAAAACAUAGGAGAGACGAAACCAGCAUAAAAAAGCAAUAGACCAACCACAAAACCUCAGCAAGAAUAGCCAAAAACCGCCCUAAUCAAGCCCAAUAGCAAAGCUAAGCAGAGGCAGAGAUGCCAAAACACGCAACCUUAGCAAGUAAAAGAUAUAAAAUGCAGCUCACUAACACCCAAGACCACCUGAAGCCUCCCACAUUGCCCUAUCUGACUUAAUAAAGUCAGUGAGAAAGUGCACCACAGUAUCAUUCGGUUCUGAAAAACUUAAACCAAGUUAUUUUUCCAAGAUAACAGUUUGCCUUGCUUCUUCUUCGGCAUCAAAAGGGAUAGCCGAGACAUCCCAAGCGGAAAAAUUGCGAAGGCGAGAAUUGAUCCGAUUGAUAUCACUGUCUGAAGGUUGAACAAUUUCUUUCCUCAUUCGAGAAGAGCUGCUACUGGACUGCUUUUUCAAUUUCUUCUGGCGUUUGCCUCCCCUAAGAAACUCUGGGGAAGAGUCAACUAAAUCACCAAGCAAUUUGCACUUAGGUCGCUGCUUGAGAAGCCCAAACACUUUGAGACAUUUAGAAGGUCCAGUUGAGUGCAGGGCCGGCCCAUGAGCUUGCCAUGGAACCAUGGCUAGUGGAUUUGAAUCAGCCAAUUGUUCAGUGAGAGGCUUCUGUUCACGUGUCAUUGCAAUUGAAUCCAUGUGGUUCUCCCUAUUUUUAAACGCCUCUAAAUUAAGUAGGGAAACAGUGGCGUUAAUACCCAACCACCGAGUGUUAGGGAGAGAUGCCAGAGGAUCUUCGAAGCUCUCUAUUCCAUGAUUAAACUUGCGGCCGGUUUCUUGAGAAGAGCAAUCUAGGGUAGCUGUUGGGUCAGCAAAGGUGAUUUCGGGACAGUACACUCAAGUAUACUGUCCUCCAAAGGUGAGAUGUAGCCGCCUGAAUUGACAGGUGUGCUCACAGGCAGAGCUAAUUUGUCUGCUGCAGAAGAGCCAUAGUGAGAAUUAUUUUCUUUUUCCGAUGAAGGAUUCGACUCAAAGCGAAACUCGUUUGAACUUGCCCCUGUUGAUUCAGUAGCUAAUGAAGUUGCUUUUGUCUUGUUACAACAGUUGGGGAUGCCAAAAAAUGGUAAUUCUUCAACCAUAAUGAUAUUGAAUCUAACAUUAUCGAUAUCAACAGCCACGGUUUUGUUAAUGUGAAUUAAAGAAUCGGUAAGAAUGAGUAAUCUAGCUGAAUCGAUUUUUGUUUUGGUUUGAGUGCUGCUAUCAAUAGAGAUGAGUUCACCAAAUUGAUUACCAACCCAACUGAAGAAUUGCGUUGUCCAAACAUUAAGGGGAAUGCCAUAAACCCUUAGGUAAACAAGGUGCUAGGAGGGUGUAGCAUUAACAUGCCAUGGUUGUAUCUCAGUAAACCAUUUGUUUAACCACGUUCGUUCUUCCAGAAAAUGUUCCAUAAGCUCCUUUGAGUCGAAAGUAAGCAAGACAGAACUUCCCCCAAUAUAGAGGACUUUAAUGGAGAACACUCUCUCCGCAAAGAAGUAUUCCUGGAGAUUAGAAAUUGUAUUCAUGUUGAUGACAAUCCCAAAAGCCGAUCGAGACAACCACUCCAUGUUGUCGUAGCUGGAUGCGAAACUACCCCCUAAAAUGAAAUCCUUUUGUUCCACGGAGUGAGACCUCCCUAGGCAGAUAUCAAAAUCCCUGAUAACUCUGUUCUUGUUCUGCUCAGUAUGAUCACCAAUACACAUGAAUAUUUUGUUAGAAGUCCUUCUCUCCGGCAGAGGAAAUUGGUGACCUAAAGUGGAUGCUAUGGGAAGAUGCUCUGUUGUGCCUGCAGUCCCUGGUUCGCUCAUGUUCCCUACUUUUCCUAUGCCCAAACUGGUAGCUUGUUUUCUGAAGGUAUCUUCUAUUGUAAUGAGAUUCGAAAGCUCGAAGCUUAUAACUACUGAACCAAAUCUUGUUAAGGUCAGCCAGAAGAGUUUGAAGAGAUGCCAUUGUACGAACACGAGCGAACCCAAAUCGCCUGCGGAUCCAACUCAGCUUCUGUGGCACAAAAAUCUCGAUAAUAUCUCCAAACUUGGAGAAGGAUUUCCACAAGGUUUCAGCAUUCAACUCUGGAGGAAAAUUUUCAAAAUAUGCAGUGGGAAAUUUUAAAUAUAUGCAGUGGGAAGGCUAUGGUUAAAGGUUGAUUUGUUGCCAUGGUGGGUGGGAGGGAAGAGUGCCAUUUUGGUUAUAGGCAAGUGCUACAUGACUUUGAAAGUUGCAGAGAUCCUAAAGUUAUCAUUGCCAAAGGAACUCCUUUGCAUUU